UGGAUGGAAGUGUACUUUUUAAACCCAUGGUGGAAAUGGAGGCUGAAGAAAACGAGUGGCUGGAAGAUUUAAAUGAAGGCAUGGAGCAAGGGUGUCUACAGGAAGAUGUGACGCAUGAUGGUGAUAUGGAAAAUCUACACAUUGAGAGUUCGCAGGCUGUUAAUAUUUCCUGCAUUUCAUGUGUCUGUCCCAAGCCUGAACCCUGAAAGCUUGAAGCAGGAGUUUUUUUGGUACCAAUAAAAAUAGUUUACUUUAA
Rhineura floridana is the source of this 256-nucleotide long non-coding RNA. RefSeq lists it as uncharacterized. The transcript has 2 exons. Lineage: Eukaryota; Metazoa; Chordata; Lepidosauria; Squamata; Rhineuridae. The record is from RefSeq and is a predicted model, not a curated record.